RNAcentral lists this ribosomal RNA (1080 nucleotides) under Tenebrionicola larvae. RNAcentral describes it as "partial 23S ribosomal RNA". It matches the Rfam family "Bacterial large subunit ribosomal RNA", at positions 1763 to 2925 of the family's 2925-position model. Lineage: Bacteria; Pseudomonadati; Pseudomonadota; Gammaproteobacteria; Enterobacterales; Enterobacteriaceae. The record is from RNAcentral.
GGAGCCGAAGUCAGUCGAAGAUACCAGCUGGCUGCAACUGUUUAUUAAAAACACAGCACUGUGCAAACACGAAAGUGGACGUAUACGGUGUGACGCCUGCCCGGUGCCGGAAGGUUAAUUGAUGGGGUUAUGGGUAACCAGAAGCUCCUGAUCGAAGCCCCGGUAAACGGCGGCCGUAACUAUAACGGUCCUAAGGUAGCGAAAUUCCUUGUCGGGUAAGUUCCGACCUGCACGAAUGGCGUAAUGAUGGCCAGGCUGUCUCCACCCGGGACUCAGUGAAAUUGAACUCGCUGUGAAGAUGCAGUGUACCCGCGGCAAGACGGAAAGACCCCGUGAACCUUUACUAUAGCUUGACACUGAACACUGGUCCUUGAUGUGUAGGAUAGGUGGGAGGCUUUGAAGCGUGGACGCCAGUACACGUGGAGCCGUCCUUGAAAUACCACCCUUUAAUGGCUGGUGUUCUAACCCAGACCCGUAAUCCGGGUCGGGGACAGUGUCUGGUGGGUAGUUUGACUGGGGCGGUCUCCUCCCAAAGAGUAACGGAGGAGCACGAAGGUUGGCUAAUCCUGGUCGGACAUCAGGAGGUUAGUGCAAUGGCAUAAGCCAGCUUGACUGCGAGCGUGACGGCGCGAGCAGGUGCGAAAGCAGGUCAUAGUGAUCCGGUGGUUCUGAAUGGAAGGGCCAUCGCUCAACGGAUAAAAGGUACUCCGGGGAUAACAGGCUGAUACCGCCCAAGAGUUCAUAUCGACGGCGGUGUUUGGCACCUCGAUGUCGGCUCAUCACAUCCUGGGGCUGAAGUAGGUCCCAAGGGUAUGGCUGUUCGCCAUUUAAAGUGGUACGCGAGCUGGGUUUAGAACGUCGUGAGACAGUUCGGUCCCUAUCUGCCGUGGGCGCUGGAGAACUGAGGGGGGCUGCUCCUAGUACGAGAGGACCGGAGUGGACGCAUCACUGGUGUUCGGGUUGUCAUGCCAAUGGCACUGCCCGGUAGCUACAUGCUGAAGAGAUAAGUGCUGAAAGCAUCUAAGCACGNNNNNNNNNNGGACACAGAAAGUGCGGCGACGACGCAACCGGCGUGAGCAA